AAUAGCCUGCUGUUUCUGAGCUUGUCACUAGCUACCUCAAGAGCUGCAAAGGACUCCUUGAGGGUUGAUACUUCUUCCUGAAGAGAACUCAUGAACAACAAUGACUCCAUUCGUUUAAAAGCAAAUGGGAUUUCAACCAAGAUUUUGAGGAAACGCUCAGCAGGGCCCAAUUGAGAAAGAUCACCCGUGAAUAACCUAAGCUUCAAUUCCUCUUCUGGUGUCAGUGUCAUCUUCAACAAAGUUUGGAGGAGCUCUGCUGGAAGUUCAGUACCAUCUCGCAAGGCAUCAAGGACUUCUUCUGCAGUCACAUUCAAUGCACGUAGAAGAAUUGAUAAAUUUUGUGCUUUCCUAGCUUCAAUGAUCUGUAUAUACUGGAUUGAAGGUGCAGAUGAAUUCUUUUUGCAAUCACUUUUGCCCUUAGCU
Molecule: unclassified non-coding RNA, 423 nt
Filed under: Hevea brasiliensis (rubber tree)
Lineage: Eukaryota; Viridiplantae; Streptophyta; Magnoliopsida; Malpighiales; Euphorbiaceae
Source: RNAcentral